Molecule: long non-coding RNA, 794 nt
Filed under: Homo sapiens (human)
Lineage: Eukaryota; Metazoa; Chordata; Mammalia; Primates; Hominidae
Description: novel transcript
Source: RNAcentral
AGCCCCCGACCAAAGUCCGUUUGAUUAAUGGUCCUCACCACUGCAAAGGAAGAGUGGAAGUGGAACAGGAAGGUCACUGAGGUACCGUGUGUGAUGACAGCUGGGACAUGAAGGAUGUGGCCGUGGUGUGCCAGGAGCUGGGCUGUUGAGCAGCCAAGCACACACCUGCUGGCAUGUUGUAUUCAAGAGUGGCAGAAGAGGCCCAACCUGUGUUCAUUCAGGUUGCCCUGUGCCAUAGGACAGAAGAGGCACUGGCUGAAUGACUUCACCACAUUCUGGGGAACAACAAAAGGAGCACAUCCUGUAUCACUCAAGACCAAGCCAUGGUCUUCUGUGUGCAGUCCUCAAGCCCACCCAAAGAGCCCUUAGAAGUCUGCAUCUCAUAGGCCUCUGUUCCUUGUGGACUUCCCAAUGUGGCUGGGCCUUUGCUGCCCGAUGGACUUUCAGAAACUCUGUCUGUUUCCUCUGGCCUUUGGUGGAUGGAUUUUUCUUUAGAUUGUUGGUUCUCCAUUUUGCUGCACAUUGGAAUCACCUGAGGAGUUUUCUGAAGUCCUGAUAUUGGAGUUCUACUUCCAAAUUCUCUAGGAGUCUGGGGUGAUGCCGGGACAUCAAGAUAUUUUCCUUCAAAUUAACCCUCAGGUUAUUACAGUAUUCAGACAAACUGAAAACUACAGCCUUAGUCUUACAGGCCCCCUGCAUUGAUUGCUGCCCCUGUGAAGAAAUGUGGCCAUGUUCAUUAUGGUCUUCCUCUCUGCUACUGAUAUUCCUAUUUUCUUUGGAUUCCAGAAUAAAAA